This 793-nucleotide ribosomal RNA is filed under the name uncultured bacterium. RNAcentral's name for it is "bacterial SSU rRNA". It matches the Rfam family "Bacterial small subunit ribosomal RNA", at positions 67 to 853 of the family's 1533-position model. The record is from RNAcentral.
CGCGAAAGCUCCUUCGGGGGUUAGUAGAGUGGCGAACGGGUGAGUAACGCGUAGGAAUCUACCCAAGAGUGGGGGACAACCCGGAGAAAUCCGGGCUAAUACCGCAUACGCCCUACGGGGUAAAGUGGGGGACCUUUCGGGGCCUCAUGCUUUUGGAUGAGCCUGCGUCGGAUUAGCUUGUUGGUGAGGUAACGGCUCACCAAGGCGACGAUCCGUGGCUGGUCUGAGAGGAUGACCAGCCACACUGGGACUGAGACACGGCCCAGACUCCUACGGGAGGCAGCAGUGGGGAAUAUUGGACAAUGGGGGCAACCCUGAUCCAGCCAUGCCGCGUGUGUGAAGAAGGCCCUAGGGUUGUAAAGCACUUUCAGUGGGGAAGAAAAACCUGAAGAUAAUACCUUCGGGCAUUGACGGUACCUGCAGAAGAAGCACCGGCUAAUUCCGUGCCAGCAGCCGCGGUAAUACGGAAGGUGCAAGCGUUAAUCGGAAUUACUGGGCGUAAAGCGCGCGUAGGCGGCUAGAUAAGUCGGGUGUGAAAGCCCCGGGCUCAACCUGGGAACUGCAUUCGAUACUGUCUGGCUAGAGUGUGAUAGAGGGAGGCGGAAUUCCGCAUGUAGCGGUGAAAUGCGUAGAGAUGCGGAGGAACACCAAUGGCGAAGGCAGCCUCCUGGAUUAACACUGACGCUGAGGUGCGAAAGCGUGGGGAGCAGACAGGAUUAGAUACCCUGGUAGUCCACGCUGUAAACGAUGUCAACUAGCCGUUGGGAGCAAUUUGGCUCUUAGUGGCGCAGCU